UUUGGACAUGGGGGAAACCUUGAUCCAGCCAUCCCGCGUGUAUGAUGAAGGCCUUCGGGUUGUAAAGUACUUUUGGCAGAGAAGAAAAGGUAUCUCCUAAUACGAGAUACUGCUGACGGUAUCUGCAGAAUAAGCACCGGCUAACUACGUGCCAGCAGCCGCGGUAAUACGUAGGGUGCAAGCGUUAAUCGGAAUUACUGGGCGUAAAGCGUGUGUAGGCGGUUCGGAAAGAAAGAUGUGAAAUCCCAGGGCUCAACCUUGGAACUGCAUUUUUAACUGCCGAGCUAGAGUAUGUCAGAGGGGGGUAGAAUUCCACGUGUAGACGUGAAAUGCGUAGAUAUGUGGAGGAAUACCGAUGGCGAAGGCAGCCCCCUGGAAUAAUACUGACGCUCAGACACGAAAGCGUGGGGAGCAAACAGGAUUAGAUACCCUGGUAGUCCACGCCCUAAACGAUGUCCACUAGCUGUUGGGGCCGUUAGGCCUUAGUAGCGCAGCUAACGCGUGAAGUUGACCGCCUG
This 518-nucleotide ribosomal RNA is filed under the name uncultured soil bacterium. RNAcentral describes it as "bacterial SSU rRNA". It matches the Rfam family "Bacterial small subunit ribosomal RNA", at positions 363 to 875 of the family's 1533-position model. The record is from RNAcentral.